UGAGCAGACUGUGCGGUAGCGUGAAGCGUGCUUCAUGAGGAAAGUCCGAGCAUCACAGGGCAGGAUAACUGCUAACGGCAGCCGAGGGCGACCUUAGGGCUAGUGCAACAGAAAGAUACUGCCGGUUUCCUUGGAUUCCGGUCAAGGUGGAAAGGUGCGGUAAGAGCGCACCAGAGUGCAGGAGACUGUACUGCUAUGUAAACCCUAUCCGAUGCAACGUCUAUUGGUACGUUUUAUCAUAACAUUUGCCCGAUGGAUAAAGCGUAAUGGCGGCUUGAACUGUAGGGCGACCUACAGGCUAGAUAAAUUAUCGCACACGACAGAACUCGGCUUAUAGGUCUGGUCAUAAA
Molecule: non-coding RNA, 350 nt
Organism: Ruminococcus sp. CAG:403
Lineage: Bacteria; Bacillati; Bacillota; Clostridia; Eubacteriales; Oscillospiraceae
Rfam family: Bacterial RNase P class A
About the family: Ribonuclease P (RNase P) is a ubiquitous endoribonuclease, found in archaea, bacteria and eukarya as well as chloroplasts and mitochondria.
Source: Rfam